RNAcentral lists this ribosomal RNA (288 nucleotides) under Triticum aestivum (bread wheat). Its description in RNAcentral is "partial small subunit ribosomal RNA". The record is from RNAcentral. Lineage: Eukaryota; Viridiplantae; Streptophyta; Magnoliopsida; Poales; Poaceae.
AUGGGAUGCAAUAAACUGAUGGUGAAUUCAGAUAAUCUAGAGGUGGUGGAAAUGAUGGAUAACGACGGUCUCUCAAUGGGAGUAGCGGCAACUAUUUUUGAUAAUUGCUACAAUCUGGCUUGCGAGUUCCCUCGAACUUAUUUUGAUCACUGUAAUAGAUUAGCAAAUUUAGUAGCUCAUGAGCUAGCUAGUAUGGCUAUGAGAGCACAUUCUUCUCUGUAGGUGGACAAUGCACCGCCGGAGAUUCUCCCUCUCUUACUAGAUGAUGUAACAGUUAUCAAAAGCUAA